UACGAAGGGGGCUAGCGUUGCUCGGAAUCACUGGGCGUAAAGCGCACGUAGGCGGAUCUUUAAGUCGGGGGUGAAAUCCCGGAGCUCAACUCCGGAACUGCCUUCGAUACUGGAGAUCUUGAGUCCGAGAGAGGUGAGUGGAACUCCGAGUGUAGAGGUGAAAUUCGUAGAUAUUCGGAAGAACACCAGUGGCGAAGGCGGCUCACUGGCUCGGUACUGACGCUGAGGUGCGAAAGCGUGGGGAGCAAACAGG
RNAcentral lists this ribosomal RNA (253 nucleotides) under uncultured bacterium. Its description in RNAcentral is "partial 16S ribosomal RNA". It matches the Rfam family "Bacterial small subunit ribosomal RNA", at positions 524 to 776 of the family's 1533-position model. The record is from RNAcentral.